UAUUUCUUUUAAUUGAAGCGCUGCUAAUUAUAACAUAAGGAUGUUAUAAUUAAUGAGUAAUGACGAGAGAUAAUAAUUGUUAUAUUGAUUAACAAUCAAGAGAGAUGAACAUUAGAGAUACUAAUGUUUCAUAAAAGAGAUUAGAUUAUUAAUCGAGGUUUCUUUUAUAACUUCUCACCAAUUCUUCAUAACGAUGAAGGUCUUUUUGGGAAGUAACGACUUGAGGGAGAGAGUGACGUUACUCAUUGAUACAGAGACACAACGAGGUUGAGCUGAUGUGAUGAUGGUGCUGCAAUGAGCGGAGUCUCCAGGGUUGUUAAUAAAUAGUUAACCUGUCUAGAAUAUGUCUUCAUACAUAUGUCUAGCUACUUUCCGCUGCAAGAUGUUGUUGAUGUUAUAGUAUGUUAUGUCAUACUUUGAGUCUUAAGAGAAUGGUUGCAUAUGAUGUAUAACUUGAUUAAUGAUAUUAAUUAACUUUUAUGCAGUCUUUCAUAGACUGUUUUCAAUUGAGAGUUAAUGAAUAAAAAUGACGAGUUUUAUUAA
This is a long non-coding RNA of Salvia miltiorrhiza (redroot sage), 543 nucleotides long. RefSeq lists it as uncharacterized. The record is from RefSeq and is a predicted model, not a curated record. Lineage: Eukaryota; Viridiplantae; Streptophyta; Magnoliopsida; Lamiales; Lamiaceae. The transcript has 2 exons.